AGAACGAACGCUGGCGGCAUGCCUAACACAUGCAAGUCGAACGAGACCUUCGGGUCUAGUGGCGCACGGGUGCGUAACGCGUGGGAAUCUGCCCUUAGGUACGGAAUAACAGUGAGAAAUUACUGCUAAUACCGUAUGAUGUCUUCGGACCAAAGAUUUAUCGCCUAGGGAUGAGCCCGCGUAGGAUUAGCUAGUUGGUGGGGUAAAGGCCUACCAAGGCGACGAUCCUUAGCUGGUCUGAGAGGAUGAUCAGCCACACUGGGACUGAGACACGGCCCAGACUCCUACGGGAGGCAGCAGUGGGGAAUAUUGGACAAUGGGCGAAAGCCUGAUCCAGCAAUGCCGCGUGAGUGAAGAAGGCCUUCGGGUUGUAAAGCUCUUUACCCGGGAAGAUAAUGACUGUACCGGGAGAAUAAGCCCCGGCUAACUCCGCGCCAGCAGCCGC
This 445-nucleotide ribosomal RNA is filed under the name uncultured bacterium. Its description in RNAcentral is "SSU rRNA". It matches the Rfam family "Bacterial small subunit ribosomal RNA", at positions 26 to 518 of the family's 1533-position model. The record is from RNAcentral.